AGCAGAGGAAUGAAGUGAAUGGGCUUGUUUUGAAAGGAUUCUAUUUCACUUAUUGGUUGCUCAUGGCUUAGAACAACAGUGACUUGUUAUUCCCCCCAGUCCUGUGGGUUGACUGGGCCAUUCUUUGCUGGUUCCACCUGAGCUCAUUCAGAGAUGGACUGGCCUCAGCUGGGAUGCCUGGCCCUCUCUUUCCAUGAGGCCUUUCAUCCUCAAGGAGGCUACACCUGGUUGGGCUUCCUUCUAAGAUGGUGGCAGCAUUUCUGGAGAGCACACACUUAUUAAGCUUCUGCUUGCCUCAAUGUGCUAAGUCACAUUGCCAAACCCAGAGUCAAGGUGGGACUGUAUGUGGGUGUGGAUAUCAGAAGACGUGGUUUAUUAGGGGCAGUUAAUGUAACAAGCUACCACUCUGGCUGCUCUCUUGAGAAGAGACUUGAUGAAACGAAUGGCAGAGCAAGGAGGCCAAUUAAAGGGCUAUAUAGUAAUCCAGGUGGAACCUAAGCAGUUUGAUGAUGGACAGUGCAUGAGAUGUGGAAGAGAGGGGAGUUAAGGAGGACCCCCGGAUGUUUGCCUCCAGCACGGAGUUGCUAUAUACUGAGAAGGCUCCAUCCUCCGGAUUUAACAGGGCUCCCUUGGCCAUACAUAGUAUGUAUUUCACAUCCUCUCAAUCUGUUGCGAUGUUUUACCGCGUGCAUUUCACGGCGGAUCCUGAUUGUAAAUGGGUUGUAGAAACUUCAUUGGCUUCCUGUUUGUGACAUUUCUGAUGGAUGGUCCCUAUUUAUAGAGAACAGCGUGGCGUGUGCAAAGUUACACGGCUCCACGCCAUGCUUAAUGGAUUGGAAGGAGAGAGCUGGCGCUCCCACUGUGAAGAGAAUCAUCUGCUUCCUUUUCGUGCAGCAGUCAGAAAUGGCCGGUGAUGGAACCCAGGCUGUGAAAGGCCUGUGAGGCUGAGUCCAGUCCUGGCUCUUCCACACAGCUUCUGGGUUCCUGCAGAACUCAGUCCCAGGAAUAAUGCGGGGGCUUGCAGUGUUAAGGGCAUGGCUGCUGGGGUACACCAACAGAUGUGGAGCCCGCCCUGGGUCAUUUGGCGGUGUGUGUCCAGGGAAAAAAAAGAAAAACUCAGGGAGGAGGGUCAUCUGUAAGUCAUUGACUGAGGUUUAGAGACUGUGGCUUAUUCAUUCCUAACCCUAACGUCUAGUCCAAUGACUGGCACAUAUUGCUGAAUACAUGCUUAUUGACUGACUGCAUGAAUCUUACCUAAGGGAAUAGUGAUGCAGGAAUAUGAUGUAGGAAGAUGGCCUUGCAGGAGAAUGACCUUGAACAGAGGCUGACUUUGGCCUCAUCCCAUAUUCAGAUUCUUCUACGUGAGCCAACUGAUGAAGAUUGAAAAAUUCCACACAAUUGAUUAUCUGGAGCCAGGAAGAGGAGACAAAUGAUGCUUUGACUGAAUUCUGCAAGAUCUUUUAAAAUUAAUUCAGUUGCCAGUGGUUUGUGUGUGUAACUGCCAUCUUGGACCCAUGGGGACCAUUCUGAGCCCUAGAUCCAGGCUUUCAGAAGUGCUGGAGAAGCAAACAUCUUGCCUUCUGGAGAAUGGUUAAUGAAAACAAGUGCUCACUCUCUUAAUUAAAAGUAAAAUCCCCCACAAACGAAGGCACACCACUCCUGCAGCUGCACUUCUGGGCUCCUGGGGCUGUGGCUGGUGCACAGUGCGUGGAGCGAGAGGGGUGAGGGGUGAAGCACUUCCAUUUGGGCUUUUCCACCCUCCGUGCCUGGCCUCCCCUGGCCCCCGACCUGAGGAUGCAAUGCUGACAACUCCAGUGAAGGGCUUCCAUCCUGUCUGCUCCAUUCACCAUGAAAGGCAAUCCCUUGGCCCCAGAAGAGCUCUGACCCACUUCCCUGCUUGUGAUAUUGAGAGAGGCAAUGGGACAGAUUGGAAAGAGCUGAAAGAACCUACACCAUGUGGGACUUCUACAGAAUUUUCCCCCUUUUUUGGAGAUCUUGCACUUUUCUAAGAGAUGACAUAGUACAGCUGUUAAGAGUAUAGGCCGUGGAGAUUGGGUUCAAAUCCUGUUUUUGUCACAUGCUUGCUGUCUAACCUUGAUGGGGCUGUUUGCCCUCCCUCUGCCUGUUUCAUGAUAUAUAAUGUAGGAAUAUAAUGUUACUUUUCUCAUUGCGUUGUUGUAAAGAUUAAAACAUUUAAUUUAUAUGAAGUCCUUAGAGCAGAGUCUGAGCUACAGAAAGCACCCUAAAUGCUGCUCAUUUGUUCACAUAUUAUCCCUUAACCAUAUGGAACCAUCAAAGGAUUUUCAGCAGGGGAAGGACAUGGCCAGCUCUGCACUUUAGAAAGAUUCCUGCCAGGAAGUGAAGAGAGGUGAUAUUGAGCCGGCACGAGGUCCCUUAAGAAUUGAUGCUGUACCUUUGGCUCUGCUAUCAGGCCACGCUCACUUUCAGUGGGAACUCAGGGUAUAUUUAGUUAAAAAUAAAUGGCCUUGACUUUGGUUUCUUCAUUCUUCAAGUCCAUUUCCGGGGACCCUUGAGAGUUCAACUAGAGCACUUCAGGGAGCCAGAGGCAAGCAGUUGAUGGUGAAAUGAGGCAGAAGUGGGCCUGUCUCAGGGACGGCCCUGCCUGCCUUCCAGCUGAUGCGAUUUCUCCUUUCAUGUUGGAUGCUCAGCCAGAGUCAGGAAUAUUAGAGAUGACCUGUUCUGGGCAUAAUUAAUGAAUCCUGUGUAGAGGAAAGGUGGGGGUUGGGGAGUUUGAAUCUGCUCCAGCAAUCCUUUUCUAUUUCGCAGAGUGGCUAUUUCAGACCUCCUCAAGGGUCCUCUGGCUUUGAGACCCUGCCCCUCCCACCUGUGCUCUAAGAAGUGUCUGUGUCCUCUGCUGACUGCCCAUGACCCAAACCUCCGCAGCGUGGAACGCUGUCACCUUUUGCUUCAAGCACAUCGGUGGGAAGUGUGGACAAGCCUUUCCCAGCAACCUGAACAGUGAAGUUAAGGAGGAUGGUAUUUAGCUCCAGGCUGCAGGGAGGGCUGGAUCCUCAGUGAAAGACACACCCUUAUGUUCUUUAAUAAACCUGUUUCUACUUAUCUUUGUAAGAUGUAGGUCCCUCUAAAGAAUGGGAUAAAGGACUAGGACUCCUUUUGUUUUGGUCCAAGAGCAGUGCUGCUGGAGGGCCCUGACCUCAAGUUCUGAAAAUUUGGUGCUUGAUCCAAAAAUGGUUGAUCGGUUCAUUAUAACCUCCUGGAAAAGACAACUUGUUCAGGGGUGGCAUAUGAUACGACAAGCCAUUCUAGUGACAGUCCACUUUGUUUUUAAACCUGUUUGGAAUGAGAAGCUCUUUCUUGCCCUUGAGAUUACCUAGCUCUGAAGAUAUAAGACUGAAACCAUCAAUGGCAACUAUGAAGGAAGAUUUUGCCUGGGAAUGAAGUUAACACAGAGAAAAACAGAGUUGAGAAAGGGAGACAGACAGCUUCUUGGUGACAUUCUUUGAGCACCUGGAUCCAGCCAUGCCUGAAGUCAUUACACUACUGGACUUUUCUAUUACAUUAACCAAAAACAAUGCCUCACUUUUGCUUAAAUAAGUUUAAGUUGGGUUUCUUUGACUUGCACCCAAAUAAGUCUUGGCUCAUAUAGGUAAAUACUAUUAUCUAGAUUUUGCAGAUGAAGAAGUAGAGAUUUAGAGAAGUUUAGUGACUUGGCUGAGGUCACAGAGCUAGCGAAUAGUAGAUCUGGGAAUCAGCCCCAAGCGGUCUGAAUCUGGAGCCAUUACCCUUAAUUAACACAUGACAAAGGUAAGCACAGGAUGCUCAGGAGGUCAGAGAAGAGUCACCUAAUGUGGUCUGGCAUCGUCCGGAAAUAUUCUCUAUAGAGGCUGAUGCCUGAACUGAGAAUGGCAGCACAAGCAGCUGUUAUUCCAGUGAAGAUGUGGGAAGAGGCAUGCACAAAAUCACAGGAGUGUGAAACAGCAUGGCAGUUACUGCGGCCCACAUGCCGUUCUGUGGAUGGGAAGAGGCAGAGAUUACCCUGAUGCUCUGUCAAGGAUGUAGGGUGGCUAGGAGCUCGGGCUUCAUCCUCUCAGAAUUUGGGGGCAAUUUAAGGUUUUUGUGUGGUUGAGCAUGAGGGUCGAUUUUGCACUCUAGAUAUAUCGCCUAAAUAGGAAUGUGACGACUGGGCUUCUGAGAGAAGACUGGAGGAAGGGAGACCAUCUGGGGGUGAAUGGUGAGGACCUCAACAGAGCAGGGUCGGUGGGGCCAAAGAGGAGUGGAGUAAAUGAAACAUUUAAGAGAGAAAAAUCAGCAAGAGCUGGUGAUUAUUGAGAGGUGAGAGGUGAGAUAAAGGACUGAACCAAGGAUGGUUUUAGGUUCCUGACUUGAGGGACUGUGUGAUGGUGGGAGGAGAGUCAGCGAGUGGGAGGAGCACAAGCGUGGUUUGUCCUACUCCCUUUGUUCCCACCCUCUCCUUCUGACUCUGGCUUUGGACCUGAGCACAGUC
This 4486-nucleotide long non-coding RNA is filed under the name Equus caballus (horse). Its description in RNAcentral is "lncRNA (ENSECAG00000059549.1)". The record is from RNAcentral. Lineage: Eukaryota; Metazoa; Chordata; Mammalia; Perissodactyla; Equidae.